GGUGGCUCAGUUGGUAGAGUGCUUGCCUUGCAUGCAUGAGGCCCUGGGUUCGAUUCCUCAGUACCA
RNAcentral lists this transfer RNA (66 nucleotides) under Dipodomys ordii (Ord's kangaroo rat). It matches the Rfam family "tRNA". Rfam says of the family: Transfer RNA (tRNA) molecules are approximately 80 nucleotides in length. Lineage: Eukaryota; Metazoa; Chordata; Mammalia; Rodentia; Heteromyidae. The record is from Rfam by way of RNAcentral.